RNAcentral lists this ribosomal RNA (800 nucleotides) under uncultured bacterium. Its description in RNAcentral is "bacterial SSU rRNA". It matches the Rfam family "Bacterial small subunit ribosomal RNA", at positions 8 to 784 of the family's 1533-position model. The record is from RNAcentral.
AGAGUUUGAUCCUGGCUCAGGAUGAGCGCUGGCGGCGUGCCUAAUACAUGCAAGUCGAGCGAGGUAGAUUUGAAAGCUUGCUUUCAAAUCUAUCUAGCGGCGGACGGGUGAGUAACACGUGGGUAACCUGCCCUUUAGAUUGGGAUAACAUCAGGAAACUGGUGCUAAUACCGAAUAGGAAGAAGAGUCGCAUGACUUUUCUUGGAAAGGUGGCGUAAGCUACCACUAAAGGAUGGACCCGCGGCGCAUUAGCUAGUUGGUGGGGUAAUGGCCUACCAAGGCGACGAUGCGUAGCCGACCUGAGAGGGUGAUCGGCCACACUGGGACUGAGACACGGCCCAGACUCCUACGGGAGGCAGCAGUAGGGAAUCUUCGGCAAUGGGCGAAAGCCUGACCGAGCAACGCCGCGUGAGUGAAGAAGGUUUUCGGAUCGUAAAACUCUGUUGUAAGGGAAGAACAGCAGGUAGUUAAAUAAGCUACCUGUGUGACGGUACCUUAUUAGAAAGCCACGGCUAACUACGUGCCAGCAGCCGCGGUAAUACGUAGGUGGCAAGCGUUAUCCGGAAUUAUUGGGCGUAAAGCGCGCGCAGGCGGUUUAUUAAGUCUGAUGUGAAAGCCCCCGGCUCAACCGGGGAGGGUCAUUGGAAACUGGUUAACUUGAGUGCAGAAGAGAAGAGUGGAAUUCCACGUGUAGCGGUGAAAUGCGUAGAGAUGUGGAGGAACACCAGUGGCGAAGGCGACUCUUUGGUCUGUAACUGACGCUGAGGCGCGAAAGCGUGGGGAGCAACCAGGAUUAGAUA